Molecule: ribosomal RNA, 254 nt
Filed under: uncultured bacterium
Lineage: Bacteria
Description: partial 16S ribosomal RNA
Rfam family: Bacterial small subunit ribosomal RNA
Source: RNAcentral
UACGUAGGGGGCAAGCGUUGUCCGGAUUUAUUGGGCGUAAAAGGCUUGUAGGUGGCCACGCCAAGUCGGAUGUGAAAUCUCCCGGCUCAACUGGGGGGGGUCAUUCGAUACUGGCGGGCUCGAGGCCGGUAGGGGGAAGUGGAAUUCCCGGUGCAGUGGUGGAAUGCGUAGAUAUCGGGAGGAACACCAGUGGCGAAGGCGGCUUCCUGGACCGGUUCUGACACUGAGGAGCGAAAGCGUGGGGAGCGAUCCGG